AACGCGAAGAACCUUACCAGGUCUUGACAUCCCUUUGACCGGUGCAGAGAUGUGCCUUCCCUUCGGGGCAGAGGAGACAGGUGGUGCAUGGUUGUCGUCAGCUCGUGUCGUGAGAUGUUGGGUUAAGUCCCGCAACGAGCGCAACCCUUGAGCUUAGUUGCCAGCGCGUAAUGGCGGGCACUCUAGGCUGACUGCCGGUGACAAACCGGAGGAAGGCGGGGAUGACGUCAAAUCAUCAUGCCCCUUAUGACCUGGGCUACACACGUACUACAAUGGCCGGUACAACGGGCAGCGAAAGGGCGACCUGGAGCGAAUCCCAGCAAAGCCGGUCUCAGUUCGGAUUGCAGGCUGCAACUCGCCUGCAUGAAGUCGGAAUUGCUAGUAAUCGCGGAUCAGCAUGCCGCGGUGAAUACGUUCCCGGGCCUUGUACACACCGCGUGUCU
Molecule: ribosomal RNA, 443 nt
Filed under: uncultured bacterium
Lineage: Bacteria
Description: bacterial SSU rRNA
Rfam family: Bacterial small subunit ribosomal RNA
Source: RNAcentral